This 160-nucleotide ribosomal RNA is filed under the name uncultured bacterium. Its description in RNAcentral is "partial 16S ribosomal RNA". It matches the Rfam family "Bacterial small subunit ribosomal RNA", at positions 338 to 515 of the family's 1533-position model. The record is from RNAcentral.
CCUACGGGAGGCAGCAGUGGGGAAUAUUGCACAAUGGGGGAAACCCUGAUGCAGCGACGCCGCGUGGAGGAAGAAGGUCUUCGGAUUGUAAACUCCUGUUGUUGGGGAAGAUAAUGACGGUACCCAACAAGGAAGUGACGGCUAACUACGUGCCAGCAGC